AGAAUGAAGAGUUUGAUCCUGGCUCAGGAUGAACGCUAGCGACAGGCUUAACACAUGCAAGUCGAGGGGCAGCACGGAUAGCAAUAUCUGGUGGCGACCGGCGCACGGGUGAGUAACACGUAUGCAACCUUCCCUUCACCGGGGCAUAUCCCAUGGAAACGUGGAUUAAUAUCCCAUACAGUCGAAAUAUCGCCUGA
RNAcentral lists this ribosomal RNA (197 nucleotides) under Culturomica sp. Its description in RNAcentral is "partial 16S ribosomal RNA". It matches the Rfam family "Bacterial small subunit ribosomal RNA", at positions 1 to 193 of the family's 1533-position model. Lineage: Bacteria; Pseudomonadati; Bacteroidota; Bacteroidia; Bacteroidales; Odoribacteraceae. The record is from RNAcentral.